This 223-nucleotide long non-coding RNA is filed under the name Elaeis guineensis (African oil palm). RNAcentral describes it as "long non-coding RNA (EGUI_LNC006974)". The record is from RNAcentral. Lineage: Eukaryota; Viridiplantae; Streptophyta; Magnoliopsida; Arecales; Arecaceae.
ACCUUAUCCCAUCUGAAGGCCAUCCACCAUCUUCACCUAUCUGAAGCCCCACAUCCCAUCCGAAGACCCCAACACGCCGUCCGAAAUCCCUCUGCCGCCACCGCUCCUUCUUCCUCCUCUGCGAGCACCUCUACCUCCUCUCAUCCUCCCUAUCUUAUCCUCUCAUCCUACCGCCACUGCAGCCCCCUUCUUUCCAGUCGCCACGUAUUCUUCCCCGACCGCA